UGGGGAAUCUUGCGCAAUGGCCGAAAGGCUGACGCAGCGACGCCGCGUGUGGGAGGACGCCCUUCGGGGUGUAAACCACUGUUGCCCGGGACGAAUAUCCUCUUUCGAGGGGAUUGACGGUACCGGGUGAGGAAGCACCGGCUAACUCCGUGCCAGCAGCCGCGGUAAUACGGAGGGUGCGAGCGUUGUCCGGAAUCACUGGGCGUAAAGGGCGCGUAGGCGGCGCGAGCAGUCGGUCGUGAAAGUCCGGAGCUCAACUCCGGAUCGGCGGUCGAUACUCUCGUGCUUGAGCACUGUAGAGGCAGGUGGAAUUCCGGGUGUAGCGGUGGAAUGCGUAGAGAUCCGGAAGAACACCGGUGGCGAAGGCGGCCUGCUGGGCAGUAGCUGACGCUGAUGCGCGACAGCGUGGGGAGCAAACAGGAUUAGAUACCCGCGUAGUCC
This 441-nucleotide ribosomal RNA is filed under the name uncultured bacterium. RNAcentral's name for it is "bacterial SSU rRNA". It matches the Rfam family "Bacterial small subunit ribosomal RNA", at positions 355 to 796 of the family's 1533-position model. The record is from RNAcentral.